Molecule: unclassified non-coding RNA, 686 nt
Filed under: uncultured Prochlorococcus sp.
Lineage: Bacteria; Bacillati; Cyanobacteriota; Cyanophyceae; Synechococcales; Prochlorococcaceae
Description: partial may contain 16S ribosomal RNA, 16S-23S ribosomal RNA intergenic spacer, and 23S ribosomal RNA
Rfam family: Bacterial small subunit ribosomal RNA (bases 1-95)
Source: RNAcentral
CCUUGUGGAGGAGGACGCCGAAGGUGGGGCUAAUGACUGGGGUGAAGUCGUAACAAGGUAGCCGUACCGGAAGGUGCGGCUGGAUCACCUCCUAACAGGGAGACAACAAAAUGUUUAAUAUUAUUAUUUUGUCACCUUAGGUCGAUCGGUAUCUCACGUUCUUAAUUCAUUAAGAAUUUCAUUUCCUAAGUUUUUCUAGGUCACACCCAUUAUUUUUCCUGGGCCAUUAGCUCAGGUGGUUAGAGCGCACCCCUGAUAAGGGUGAGGUCCCUGGUUCAAGUCCAGGAUGGCCCAUAUCUCUAUGUUGGGGGUAUAGCUCAGUUGGUAGAGCGCCUGCUUUGCAAGCAGGAUGUCAGCGGUUCGAGUCCGCUUACCUCCACUGAUUACCACCUCUUCCAUAACCGGUAGAAAGGAAAUGUUUUGAGUUGUGAUCACUAUUCUGAACGAAUCUAGCUUCCUAAUGAAAUCAUUAAGAUGCUGGACUCAUUGAAUUAAUUUCAUUGUUUUCAGAGAACCUUGACAACUGCAUAGAUUAUUUUUAAAGACAAUAAGCAUCUUUAAUGAUGCAGAUUUAUUAUUUGUGCGAAUGCAUUAAUAACAAUUCUAUUAAGCUGAUGCUUCAAUUUUUGAAGUUAUUGGUCAAGCUACAAAGGGCUCACGGAGGAUACCUAGGCACACAGAGGCGA